CCUACGGGAGGCAGCAGUGGGGAAUAUUGCACAAUGGGGGAAACCCUGAUGCAGCGACGCCGCGGGAAGGAAGAAGUAUUUCGGUAUGUAAACUUCUAUCAGCAGGGAAGAAAAUGACGGUACCUGACUAAGAAGCCCCGGCUAACUACGUGCCAGCAGCCGCGGUAACACGUAGGGGGCCAGCGUUGUCCGGAUUUACUGGGUGAAACGGGAGCGGAGGCGGCGAUGCAAGUCAGAAGUGAAAGCCCGGGGCUCAACUCCGGGACUGCUUUUGAAACUGUAUGGCUAGAUUGCAGGAGAGGCAAGUGGAAUUCCUAGUGUAGCGGUGAAAUGCGUAGAUAUUAGGAGGAACACCAGUGGCGAAGGCGGCUUGCUGGACUGUAAAUGACGCUGAGGCUCGAAAGCGUGGGGAGCAAACAGGAUUAGAUACCCGGGUAGUC
RNAcentral lists this ribosomal RNA (440 nucleotides) under uncultured bacterium. RNAcentral's name for it is "partial 16S ribosomal RNA". It matches the Rfam family "Bacterial small subunit ribosomal RNA", at positions 338 to 795 of the family's 1533-position model. The record is from RNAcentral.